This 492-nucleotide ribosomal RNA is filed under the name uncultured bacterium. RNAcentral's name for it is "partial 16S ribosomal RNA". It matches the Rfam family "Bacterial small subunit ribosomal RNA", at positions 29 to 507 of the family's 1533-position model. The record is from RNAcentral.
AGUGAACGCUGGCGGUAGGCCUAACACAUGCAAGUCGAACGGCAGCACAGUAAGAGCUUGCUCUUACGGGUGGCGAGUGGCGGACGGGUGAGGAAUACAUCGGCAUCUACUUUUUCGUGGGGGAUAACGUAGGGACACUUACGCUAAUACCGCAUACGUCCUACGGGUGAAAGCAGGGGAUCUUCGGACCUUGCGCGAUUGAAUGAGCCGAUGUCGGAUUAGCUAGUUGGCGGGGUAAAGGCCCACCAAGGCGACGAUCCGUAGCUGGUCUGAGAGGAUGAUCAGCCACACUGGAACUGAGACACGGUCCAGACUCCUACGGGAGGCAGCAGUGGGGAAUAUUGGACAAUGGGCGCAAGCCUGAUCCAGCCAUACCGCGUGGGUGAAGAAGGCCUUCGGGUUGUAAAGCCCUUUUGUUGGGAAAGAAAAGCAGCAGGUUAAUACCCCGCUGUUCUGACGGUACCCAAAGAAUAAGCACCGGCUAACUUCGUG